CACGCCGUAAACGUUGGGCACUAGGUGUGGGUCUCAACCAACGAGAUCCGCGCCGUCGCUAACGCAUUAAGUGCCCCGCCUGGGGAGUACGGCCGCAAGGUUAAAACUCAAAGGAAUUGA
RNAcentral lists this ribosomal RNA (120 nucleotides) under uncultured bacterium. Its description in RNAcentral is "partial 16S ribosomal RNA". It matches the Rfam family "Bacterial small subunit ribosomal RNA", at positions 796 to 913 of the family's 1533-position model. The record is from RNAcentral.